Molecule: ribosomal RNA, 506 nt
Filed under: uncultured bacterium
Lineage: Bacteria
Description: bacterial SSU rRNA
Rfam family: Bacterial small subunit ribosomal RNA
Source: RNAcentral
GAUCCUGGCUCAGGAUGAACGCUGGCGGCGUGCCUAACACAUGCAAGUCGAACGGGUUAAGGGAAAUUUCGGAUGGAACUUAACUAGUGGCGGACGGGUGAGUAACGCGUGGAUAACCUGCCUCACACAGGGGGAUAGCAGCUGGAAACGGCUGGUAAUACCGCAUAAGACCACGGAGCCGCAUGGCUUUGAGGUAAAAGAUUUAUCGGUGUGAGAUGGAUCCGCGUCUGAUUAGCCAGUUGGCGGGGUAACGGCCCACCAAAGCGACGAUCAGUAGCCGGCCUGAGAGGGUGAACGGCCACAUUGGGACUGAGACACGGCCCAAACUCCUACGGGAGGCAGCAGUGGGGAAUAUUGCACAAUGGGCGCAAGCCUGAUGCAGCAACGCCCGCGUGAGUGAAGAAGUAUUUCGGUAUGUAAAGCUCUAUCGGCAGGGAAGAAAGGCCCGAAAGGGAGAUGACGGUACCUGACUAAGAAGCCCCGGCUAACUACGUGCCAGCCGCAGC